Long non-coding RNA from Zophobas morio, 577 nucleotides. RefSeq lists it as uncharacterized. Lineage: Eukaryota; Metazoa; Arthropoda; Insecta; Coleoptera; Tenebrionidae. The transcript has 4 exons. The record is from RefSeq and is a predicted model, not a curated record.
ACAUAUUUUCUGUUAUUGUUGGUGGUUCAAAAAGUAUUUUGUGUAAGUUCAUGGUGUUUGUCCUAUUGUGAAUUGUGAUUAUCGGUACUGCGAUAAAUUCAGAAUAGUGUAGUAAAUACCGUUUUGUCAAGAAAACAGUACUAAACCUACAUAACCUCACUUCUACAUGGAAUGCAGAAAAUGCAAUUUCUCAACACAGACAAAAUGAUGAAUGUCCGGGCGCAACCAAAAAAAAAAGAAGAAAUCGAGUUAGAAAUUGCGGGAGAUACGCAGAAAUUGGAUGAAUUGUUUCAGACUGAUAAUAAUGUUUAUUUGUCAGGAAGAGAAGACGUAAAAAAACAUGUAUGCAAUUUUGAAGAAAUUAUUAAUAAUGAACCAAAUUGCUUUCAAGUUUUCAGGGCAAGGAAAAAAAUAAGCUCUCUUUUAGUGAACUUACAAUUAACAAGGCUACAAUAUGUACCACACGAAAACGUCACAAAAACGCCACAACUACUGAAAUUUAAAAAAUGGUAGGACCUCAUUAAGCGCAGACAAAAGCAAGAAUGAAUUCUCAUCGAAAAAAACAUGAGGUAUGACU